GGCUCCUCUUUAAAACCAUCGAUUCUCGAUUUCCUCUCUCUUCAAAAAAAAAAAAUAAAAAAAAAUAAAAAAACGUAAUGAUUUCAGGUUCUCUAUGGCUUCAUUGCAGGGUCAUUCUCUGAAAGCUCUUGUUAUCUUCAGGAACUACAUGUAUCCCGAAUUGAUCAGGACUGUGCAUGUUUACCAAUUGGAGAAUGGGGUGGAAAAGGAAGCUGAGAGAGAGUAUGUUUUCCACAGUGAUAGCCCCUAUGAGGAAAUUGGGUCAUAUAAAGUUCUCACAUUGGAGAAAUUUCGGCCUUCGGCUCAGUUUGAAGGGCGUGUGAAUGGUGUGUGGCUUUGCAUUUAUGUUUUCGACGCCGAUCGACAUUGCCCUCCUAUUUUGGAUGGCAUUCCUACCAUACUCUCAAUUUCUAGGAAUCCUAAGCUGGCGUCAAUUCCAACAUUGGCCAAUGACCUUCAAAUCAUUUUCCAGUUCAACCACAGGAUGAAAGAUGGAGAGCAAUUGCAAAUUCCACCCAAGGAAACUAGCAUUGGGAACAGGGGCGGAGCAUUUCAGUUAAAGAGUCAGCGCAUCUUCGCUCUGGAUCUUAACUCUGUUCCGAAUCCAGAAUUAGAUAAUGAAGAAAGUGAUGAAGCAACAGGUAUUGUGGAGAAGAAAAAAAAGAGGGCAGCAACCAAAGAUAUAUCAAGGCUUGCUUUAGCAGAUCUUGCGAAAUACUUUGAUCUUCCCAUAGUGGAAGCUUCAAAAAAUUUGAAAGUUGGACUCACGGUACUCAAGAAAAAGUGCAGAGAAUUUGGCAUUCCUCGUUGGCCACAUAGGAAGAUCAAAUCCCUUGACAGUCUCAUUCAUGAUCUCCAGGCAGAGGUAGAACAGCAACAACAGGAGGAUGAGGCUGCAGCCAUGGUAGUUGCAAAGAGGCAAAAAAUGUUAGAAAAUGAGAAGGAAAGCAUAGAGAAGAAGCCCUUCAUGGAGAUUCAGAGGGAGACCAAGAAAUUCAGACAAGAUAUAUUCAAGAAGAGGCACAGAGCUAGAGCUCUUGAGAAUCAGAUCAGAACCAUGCCCCUAUUCUAGAGCAUCGAGCAGUAAAUAUAACGGAAGCGAGGACUUAUAUUGGGAAACUCUCUUAAAGUCAAAUAAAAUUCAAUGCCACGGUUGAUUUCAUGCUGGAUCACUGUUUUAUUGGUGAUUUUGUGGACCCCUCAUCAGUCCACUUGUUUUGGCCAAAGAGAAUGCCCACCAAGGAACCUUAUGACGCACUUGGGAGUCUGGCAAGUUGAGGACCGACUAUAAGAGAAGCGAAUCAGUGUGUGGAUGCCCCAGCUGCAGAGGGCUGUAAUGAUUACAUUUACUUGUGUUUCUUUUUCAACAUGUAUUAUCAACUGCUUGACGUAGAUGCUACAAUACAAUGGUUUUAUACUUCAGAACAAGAGUUGUUUGUAGUUAGUUCUUAAUGAAAAUCUUUUUUCUAGCUGAAAAAGAAAUAAAGCAUUGUCUGAGGUCUC
This is a non-coding RNA of Camellia sinensis, 1503 nucleotides long. Lineage: Eukaryota; Viridiplantae; Streptophyta; Magnoliopsida; Ericales; Theaceae. The record is from RefSeq and is a predicted model, not a curated record.